Long non-coding RNA from Hippocampus zosterae (dwarf seahorse), 906 nucleotides. RefSeq lists it as uncharacterized. The transcript has 2 exons. NCBI's taxonomy places the organism in Eukaryota, Metazoa, Chordata, Actinopteri, Syngnathiformes, Syngnathidae. The record is from RefSeq and is a predicted model, not a curated record.
AUACACACACACACACACACACACACACACACACACACACACACACACACACACACACACACACACACACACACACACACACACACACAUACUUACUGGUCACAAGAUUAGGCACACCUAUGCAAUCUAUCGGUAAUGCAAUUUCAGUAUUCGUCUACUGCCACCAAUCACAAAAUCGUGAUCUAUUGAUUUUACUUAGUCUAAGGUGGGUAGAUUAGCCAGUAAUUUUCCUCAAGUUAACCAAAGUAGGUCCAUUACUUUCGUAUCAUAUGAUUCAAGUAAAUGUCAACAGUUGCCUUCCAAAUAAUGACUUUAGUAAAUCUAAUGCGAGCAUGAAUGUCAAAUAGACAAAAAUGUAAAGUAGAAAUGUGCAAAUUCGGAUAUUGCCCAACAAUAUCGCUUGAUCUCAAACAAUUUCUAAUUAUAGCUAUAACGUGGAAGGCAAAUUCAGCCACAGGAAGUGAAUCCUUUUUGCUUACAAAGAGAAAUGGCACAAUUGGUUUGAAAGGUAGAGAUUACAUGAAAAUUUUUUUUCGCAAGUUCCUUGGAGGCUAAAACGUAGACGGCGCAUGACCUUGUUGGUCCAUUUUAAUAUUCUGUAAAGUAAACCUCAUUUCAAUAUGUGUCUGGAGGUUUUCUUGCCUUUUCUGACUACGAGUCACACGCCGUUUUUUCUUUCCUGCAACGUUUCACAAAUUUGCUUCGGUGUUAGGCUGUGGAGGCUUAUGAGUAGUCAAGUGACUGCCAGGCUAUGUUUAGUUGGGGAAAUGGAGUCGCCAGCGGUUACGUUGGAUGAGUGAAAGAGUUGGUCAUCUGACAGCGCCCCAGGCAGAAGUUUCUUUAAAAAAAAAAGGUUGUGCAAGCGAUAAAAAAUAAAUAAUAUAGAGAUGUUGGGUGAACAAACAA